RNAcentral lists this long non-coding RNA (2027 nucleotides) under Homo sapiens (human). RNAcentral describes it as "HSALNT0316153". Lineage: Eukaryota; Metazoa; Chordata; Mammalia; Primates; Hominidae. The record is from RNAcentral.
AAGAAAAAUUUGUUCAGCAUAUGAGUGGUAGAUACGACCAAAGCUACAUCUCUCAGCAAGUCAGUGCUCCAGCUUAAGCAACAAGAAAAAAAAAAGCUCUAUAUAGAACUGUGACAAACAUAGUUACUGCAUGGAACUAAGAAAAUGAUGUUUGUAGCGUGUAGAAGCUAGAAAAGAAAGAUGAAAUCAAUUUAAACUUUUUCAAAACCAAUAGCUAGACUGAGACUGUUCAGUCCUGAAUAUAUAUGUGUACAUAUGUGUAUGUACACAUAUAUACAAACAUUGGGUUCUCAUUUUGUUUUGGAAAGGUGAAGCUGGUCACCCCCAGAGUUAAUGGGAAAAUAUGUGGGAUUAGAAAUUGUGCCCCAGUAUUCUGGGACUCCUGCCCAAGCCACAGUGAUGGCUUUUCCCCUCUUAUGAUUGCUGCUGUACUGAAAUUUACCAUCAGUCAGCCAUAGAACAGAGCAACUCCCAAGGUUCCAGCUACUACAGUGACUCAUUUGGUGUGUCAUCAUUCCCUGGAGAAUGGAGGUACCACAUCAAAUCAUGGCCCAUCCUAAAGUCUAGUGCCACUGAAAUUUACAGCCACAGAACUGAAUUAAUCAAGAGGAACAACAACAACAAGAGUUCUCUUCCAAAAUGAUAGCUUUUUUGUAGCUCUGAAAUGAGAGGAACCCAAUCCAGAAGAAUCCACAGAAGGAGGAAAAGCCAGCAGAAAGGCAGCAGAUUAGACACAAAAUUGUAAUUGUUAGUACGCAACUGAUAAAUACAAAAGGGCGAAGAGAAUGUCAAUCCAGAAUGAUGCAAAUCCCUUCAUUAUUACUCUCGUUAAAGGACUGCUAAUGAUCAGCAAAUAGCCAAAGGCAGAGGAGUCAAUCCAAGAUCUCUUCGGUUCUUUCCUAAUCAGAUUUACACAAUGCUGGGCAUGGAUAAUUUAGGGAGACCUGAAACUCAGAGCUCAAAUCUAUCGCCUUCCAGAUGCUGAGAAGAGAAACAUCUGAUGUCAGCUUCCUCUCUGUUCCUAACAUCUUCAGUUCCCCAAACAGACUUUGUUAACAGUUAUCAUACAGCUAUGAUUUUAAUGCCGUGAGAUAUUAUAUUAAAAUGUAAUUUUAUGCUUUAACUUUGCUCUGCCCAGUUUAAGAGUACCAAGUAUGUAUCAGGCACUCUGUACUGUGUUGGAUGUUAGAUGUUUCUCCCAUAAAUUUGGAUAUGACCCCUUCCUUUGAGAUACUUUUAGUUUAGUCUACCAGUAACCCAGUCACAAUGGCAACUUUAUAAGCAGCAAUUAAACCAACUAAUUUCUUUCUGAAAACUCAAGAAUCUUGCUUUGUGGUAAUGUAUCUGUCAAAAACAUUUGAUUGAGUAGAAAUAGACCAUGACUGUGGAAAAAUGCAGUGAAAAACGUAUGUACAAAUAAAUAUGUUCUCAUGAUUCAUUAAUAUGAUCAUAUAAAUGUAGACCCUAAUCAUAUUAUCUUUGAAACUUUUGUGGUAAAAGGGUUGCUAAGUCAACUUAACAGUAAAAUCAGUUGCAGAGUGAUCAUUGGUAAACUUAAGAAAAACUUCCAAUAAUGGCAUUCCUUUGUGAAGUAACUAUUUUUAUGACAAUUGUUCAUAUCAAAUUGACUAAAAUAGAUUUGGAUCCAUACUGGAAAUACCCUUCAUUUAGAAAAUGUCUAAAAUGAUAAAUGUGUAAUAGCUCUGAAAUAAUCUACAUUUCAAAUUUUUCAUUUUUUAAAAUAAAUAAUCUCUUUUAAUUCCCAAAUAGCGAAUUCUUCCACACUGCCCUGUUUUAUUAAACAAUAGUGGUCAAAAAUUAUUAUGCAUAAUUAAAUAAUUCCAAAAAAACUUGCUCUAAAAAAUGUACUGCUCACCAACUGUAUUACAGAUUUAAGAAUGAUGAGCAUGUUAAGGUUUCUUGGAGUUGCUCUCAUUUUGUGGAACGGUAAUGUAGUAUUCUUUGUAUUACAAAAAAAUAAAUAAAAAAUCUCUUGAGAGGAGGGUAGCUGGUGAUAAAUGCUCUGA